ACAUUAUAUAAAAACUAUAAUUCAACUGGGAUCAUAACAGUUGGUAAUCAGAGCGAUCGAUCCUUGGGCGAUGGCUGAUGUUACGAGAUUCAAAGACCUACAAGAGGCACAAAAGAAGUUAGAUAAAGUAUUACAAGCAGAAUCGUUCAAAAGGGAGGCAGCUGAAGUCAAAAUGCAGGAAAAGAUGAAUAAAAUGGCUGAUGAAAUGCAGAAACAUCUUUCAAGUGUAGAUGGUAAAUUUGAACACUUAACCUCUACCCUAGCAUCUUUACAAUUACAGUUAUUGAAUAUGAGUAAAAGUAGUGGGGGUCAGGAUUCUGAGUCAAUCUUAGGGAGUCAUGAGCAUUACUACAGUGGGGGUGGUAGUGGGGGAAAACUCCUUAUUCUCACAAGUACAGAUUGCAGGGUGAAGGGGGUGGAGGAAGUCCCAUAAUCACUCCCUUACCAAAGCUUGAUUUCCCUAGAUUUGACGGAACUUAUCCGAGGGCUUGGAUUUUGAAGUGCAGGGGCUAUUUUGAUUUAAUUCCUAAUCUACCUGAUUCCCAAAAAGUGAGGAUGGCUGCUAUGCACUUUGAGGGAAAGGCUUCACUAUGGUUCCAAAACCUAUCUGGUAAACCUUAUGAGCUAAAUUGGGAGCAAUUUGUUGAUCUGAUUUCAGCAAGGUUUGAGGAACUCAAAGAAACCAAGAUUGUGGCAGAAUUUAACAAAUUGAGAAUGACUGGUAAUUAUGCUGAUUAUGUGGACAAAUUUGAGGAACUCAGAGCAUGCAUGGUGCUUGUUAAUGGGGGUGAAUUUUCAGAAGAAUACUUUAUUGCUAGCUUUGUAAGUGGACUAGGGGAGGAGCUACAAUCCUUCAUUAGGAUGUUUAAUCAUAUCACUCUAAGCCAAGCAAUUGAGUUGGGGAGAAAUCAACUACUCACCCUUGAUGCACUUACAAGAAAGUUGAAGGGUAACUACAAGAGUAAUAAUGGGUCAGGCCAGUUUAUGAGAAAGGCAGAAUCUGUAACACCCAUUGUUCCACAGAAAGUGAGUGGAGAUACAUCAAAGGUACCCUUUAAAUUCUUAAAACCUGAGGAAAUGGAGGCAAGAAGAAGUAAAAGGUUAUGUUAUAAUUGUGACGAGAUAUACAAACCUGGCCAUAGAUGCAAGCAGAGGAUCUCUUACCUUAUAAUGACUGAAGAAGAAGAGCUGGAAUUGAUGCAGGCUGAGGCUGAAGAAGUUGAUGGGGAAUUUGAAGCAAAAACCAUGGAAGAAGUGGUUGUAG
Molecule: long non-coding RNA, 1264 nt
Filed under: Salvia miltiorrhiza (redroot sage)
Lineage: Eukaryota; Viridiplantae; Streptophyta; Magnoliopsida; Lamiales; Lamiaceae
Description: long non-coding RNA (SMIL_LNC006695)
Source: RNAcentral